Molecule: ribosomal RNA, 497 nt
Filed under: uncultured bacterium
Lineage: Bacteria
Description: partial 16S ribosomal RNA
Rfam family: Bacterial small subunit ribosomal RNA
Source: RNAcentral
GAUGAACGCUGGCGGCGUGCCUAAUACAUGCAAGUCGAGCGAACAGAUAAGGAGCUUGCUCCUUUGACGUUAGCGGCGGACGGGUGAGUAACACGUGGGUAACCUACCUAUAAGACUGGAAUAACUCCGGGAAACCGGGGCUAAUGCCGGAUAACAUUUAGAACCGCAUGGUUCUAAAGUGAAAGAUGGUUUUGCUAUCACUUAUAGAGGGACCCGCGCCGUAUUAGCUAGUUGGUAAGGUAACGGCUUACCAAGGCAACGAUACGUAGCCGACCUGAGAGGGUGAUCGGCCACACUGGAACUGAGACACGGUCCAGACUCCUACGGGAGGCAGCAGUAGGGAAUCUUCCGCAAUGGGCGAAAGCCUGACGGAGCAACGCCGCGUGAGUGAUGAAGGUCUUCGGAUCGUAAAACUCUGUUAUUAGGGAAGAACAAAUGUGUAAGUAACUGUGCACGUCUUGACGGUACCUAAUCAGAAAGCCACGGCUAACUACGUG